GCCACGCCCGAAGUCGUUACCUCAACCGUAAGGAGGGGGAUGCCUAAGGCAGGGCUAGUGACUGGGGUGAAGUCGUAACAAGGUAGCCGUACCGGAAGGUGUGGCUGGAUCACCUCCUUAAAGGGAGACCUAAUUCGGGUAGGAGACGAAAAAAAAGUAGUCCCUACCAAGAAUCAAUCCCAAAAGGUCGGAGCGAGGCGAAAUUGGCUUUCAAACUAGGUUCUGGGUUCACACAAGACCUGAAUCAGGAACAAGGGCUAUUAGCUCAGGUGGUUAGAGCGCACCCCUGAUAAGGGUGAGGUCCCUGGUUCGAGUCCAGGAUGGCCCACCUGCACAGGUGGCAAAAACAAAAAAGCUCCGAAUCAGCACCUUAUCUUACUUAUAUAGUAAGAGAGAAUGCUGGCUCUGAGUUCAGAGUCCAGAGGAACCUUGAAAACUGCAUAGAGCUAGGUGAAAAAGCCAAAAAAGAAGACCGUCAGGUCAAGCUAAUAAGGGCUAACGGUGGAUACCAUGGCACACAGAGG
Molecule: unclassified non-coding RNA, 524 nt
Filed under: uncultured Microcystis sp.
Lineage: Bacteria; Bacillati; Cyanobacteriota; Cyanophyceae; Chroococcales; Microcystaceae
Description: partial contains 16S ribosomal RNA, 16S-23S ribosomal RNA intergenic spacer, and 23S ribosomal RNA
Rfam family: Bacterial small subunit ribosomal RNA (bases 1-120)
Source: RNAcentral